GGGAGAGGUAGGCUAGUAUAAGAGAUUUAAGAAGAGGAAGGGAGCCAGUGGAGGAUAUAAUAUGAUAAUAUGAUAAGGGCCAUCAAAUUCCUUUGACCGCCUCUUUAUAAACCCCAGCACACCCAUGGCUUUUUUUACCAUCGUAAAAAUGUGUUCAGAAAACUUUCACUUGCACAACACCAUGACUGAUCUGAUUGCAUGCGAGAGUGAAAUUAAAUGUCCUUAUACUGGACACAGAGCUUAACAUCAUCCGCAGAGGGCAGAUAAUGAUAAUGAGUGUAAAAAGUAGGGGGCCUAGAUGGCUACUCUGUGGUACUCCAGAAGUAACCAUAACAGGUAAAGAUAAGAAGUUUUUGAAGAGGACUCUUUGAGACCUGGACCACAGGUAGCUAGAAAUCCAUCUCAAACGAUUGGUCGGAAACCCUAGAAGGCCAAACUUUUGUGAAAGAAGACAAUGAUUUACAGAAUCGAAUGACUUACUAAAGUCAGUGUAAAUAACAUCCGUCUGCAAGUUACCUUGGAAGCCUUUAAUGAUAAAGGAGGUGAACUCUAAAUGAUUAGUGGUUCUUGAUCGUCGCAGUAUAAAUCCGUGCUGCUAUUUUAGGAAUAACGGAUAACUUAGAUAUAUCUCUAUAGUUCUUGCUAUCUUUCUUAUGGAGAGGAAGUAUAAAGGAUUCCUUGCAGAUAAAGGGAAAGUUAGAAGAAUGAAUGGAUAGAGUGAAUAAUUUAAGCAAAGGUCCGCACAGAGACUCGGCGCAGUACCUGAGUACACAGCCGGGAACUCCGGCAGGGCCCGGUGAAUAUACCGGCUUAACUAAUCGAAGAUCAUGAAGUAAGUAGCCUUCAUUAAACAAAGGGCAGAAAAUGCCAUUCGACCUUGGUAAACUAUAUGGAUACAUGGGAAUAGGUGGUUUCAAAAAAUUGUGCAAAGAGAUCGGCGAUUGCCUGAUCAUUGUUCGCCGACAUAUUCAAAAAUGAAAGCGAGGAUGGAUGUGCGGACGUUCUACGCUUACUGCUUACAAAGCUGUAAAACUGUUUAGGGUCCUAUGAAAAACGUAUCCUGCAUCGAAGGAGGUAGUUCCUAUAGCAUUGAGCAUUAAGAACAGUAAAAUUUGACCGAGCUAUUAAGUAAUUAGAAAGAGAAGAGGGAGAACCAACUUCUUGAGAUUUUUUAAAUAGUCUUGAUUUUAGAUUUUUUAGACUUCUUUGGUGAACCAAGGAGGUUUCGCAGAUCUAGUCGGACAUGAGAGUGGGACACACGUGUCAAAAAUUGUGUCAAGUACAUUGUAAAACAUGUUUUGUGCCUUCAAAGACGUCAGUGCACGAGGACAGAGCGGACCAAUCAAAAUCCCUAAUUAAGUUAUUGAGCUUCGUACACUCGGCUUUACCCGUACGAUCCGAUACAGUAGGUCCAAUAUCUACCGACACUUCGAAAGUAGGAUGAUAGCAGUCUUCAGGUAUAGUGAGCGGGAGUGCUCGUGUUAACAACGCUACGGUCGGAUCCGAGGCAAAGCACAGAUCAAGCAAUCGACCCAAGGAGUUUUUUACAUGGUUGACUUGAGACAGGGACAGGUCUAAUAGGCCAUCAAUAAAAUCAUGUUGGGACAUGGGCACAAGGUUAAUAGACUCGUUAACCGAAGACCAGACAGUACCUGGCAGGUUGAAAUCCCCAAGAACUAUUAAAUGGUGUCUAUCAGAUAGCGAGGAAGAAACAGUUUUUAAGGCGGACAAGUGCGGCUCGUAUAUUAAUACAUCCUAAGUCGGUGGAAUAUACGACCAAGUGACAUAAAUAGACAGGCCGGGAAGAAUCAGUCUAACACAGAGGAAUUCCAGGUCUUGUGAGACCUAGACUAUGAAAAGUUCCGACGUAAAGUAAGAGUUUACUGCAAUCAAAACCCCUCCUCCACGUCGGGACGAACGAUCAUUCCUAUAAAUUGUGUACAGAUCUGCCAAAACUUCGGAACUAAG
Molecule: long non-coding RNA, 1968 nt
Filed under: Drosophila guanche
Lineage: Eukaryota; Metazoa; Arthropoda; Insecta; Diptera; Drosophilidae
Source: RNAcentral